UCUCCCCCCUCUUCCCCUCCUCCAUUCCCCGCUCCCCCCCGCGUCCCAAACUGCGCACAAUAGCGCGCCGGCUCCUCUAUCUAUUUUGUGUCCAGCUGGAGCCGCGCACGAUGAUUCAUUGCCCCAAUUAGGGGCUCUCUCCAGCGCGCCGGGCUCAAGCCGUCUGAAGGGUCUCCUCGGGGACCGCCGAAACCCAUCAGCGGCUAGAGCUGGUCUUUAAGUAAAGGUCAAGCAGGACGCGGGAGGAGCCAGGUGAGGAAACUAAAGCAGAGAGGUUAAGCUAUUUGCCCAAGAUCACACAGCUACUAAUGGAAGGAGCUGAUAUCGCAACUCAGACUGCUGUGGACCCGGAGCCUGCACUCUGAAUGGUGCACUACUUUGCCUACAGACUUCGGACUUCAGACCAAAAUCCAGCCCCCCUCCUCCCCGCAUCACAGUGUCUUCUCUGCAUGGCCCCAGUUUUUGGCCAGGGCUGGGUUUGAACCCGCCACCUCCGGCAUAUGGGGCCUGCGCCCUACUCCUUUGAGCCACAGGCGCCGCCCUUUUGUGUGUGUGUUCCCAUUUCUCUUGGUUAAACAUCUAGAAGUGGAAUUCCUGGGUCAUAGGGCAGGUGUUGACCUUGGGUGAGUAGCCGGUUCAGCCUCAGUUUCCUUAUCUUUAAAAUAGGGUUCAAAAAAGUAGCAACAAUCCGGAUGCCCAUCAGUAAAUGAAGGGAUCAACAAAAUGUGGUGUGGUCAAACAGGGCAUUAUUUGGCCAUGAAAAGCCCAACUAUAACCCCUGAAAACAUUGCGCUAAGGGUCAGAAGCAGAGACAUAUCGUCAGGUCCCAUUUUAUAUGAAUCAUCCAGAAUAGCCAAUCUAUAGAGACGGGCGGCAGAUGGGUGGCUGUUUAGGGAUGGGGAGGGGCUGGAGGGAUGACCACUCCUGGGGACAGGGUUUCCUUGUGGGGUGAUGGAAGUGUUCUGGAAUUAGGUGGAGAUGACAGUUGUACAAUCUCGUGGACGUACUAAAUGCCACUGAAUUGUACACUGUAAAACGGUCAAAGCAGUGAAUUUCAUGUUAUGUGAUCUUUGCCUCAAUUUUUAGAAGGGGGGAAUGUAAUCUGAUAAUAAACCUUCUCCAGGGACUUGCUGACAAGGGAGGUGCCUCAAGUCAGCACCUGGCACAGAGCUAGGCAGACAGUCCCAGAACAGCAGCUUCAGGUAUUUGGGGCAUCAGCGCCCACCCAACCCUGUGCCUGGCACGCCUAGCACCCAGCCUGCACACGGCAGGCUUUCAGCGUGCCCUUGUUCAUCAUGAGUGUUUAGCUUUACGGUUGUGAUUCCUCAGCGCCCCGGGCAGAGGCUGCCAGGAAAAAGCAGUAAUGAGACUGUCUGCUGCCUGACUCUGACCUUCAUGUUCAUUAUCUUCAAGAAAUCUGCACAAGAGCCUAUCAGAUGGGAAUCUUUCAAAAUGCAUUACUACUAAUCUCCCAGUGUUUACGGAGAAGGAAACCAAGAGAGGUUCAGGAAGCUGCCCAAGGUCAGCAUCAGCGAAGCCCGGCCAACUCUGAGCCACAGGGCCAGGUAAGCAACGAGGUCAGCAGCCUGAGUCCCGCACACAGCACUACCUCCAUGUGGGGGGAGGCCUGCCCCCCUGUCUCUGCAGAUGGAAGUCCUCUGCCCUAGGCACGGGCUGGAUCUUCAUAGAGCUGAGAAGGUAGCAGGAGUGUGGAGUGACUGUGUCCCUGUGAGUCUGCCCCAGAAGAGAGUCUGGGCUCAAGCAGAGGUCAGGAUGUGACCUGCCUGGGGUCCUCAGCCCUGUGGAGUCCAGGCCAGCAGUGAUUUCCCAGAGGUACUGACUUAGAAGGAAAGAGAAGGUAAAGAAAAGCAGGAAAAAGUAGGCCACAGAAGCCCACUAUGGCUGCCUGAGCCAGCCUCUGUCCCCAGGCAGCCACAAAGCCUCUUCUGGGGCCUUGGCCCGCACCCUCUCGUGCUUAGAUCUCAGGGGCCAUGGUGCUCCUCAUCCUCAUUCCUGGAAUUCUGCUACACCUACCUUGCUGGCACCUCCCCCAGGCCACAGUGCCACUUCCUGCCCCAGUGGCAAACCUUCUCCCAGAGGUCGCCCCCACCCUUCCAUUCCCACCUCCCAAACCCAACCCCCAAAUUUCUUCCCCCAAUGAACCCAUUGGCACUGCCCCAUCUGGCUCUCCAAAACUGCAGCUCACUCACAUCACUCCCCUGCUCUCAAAUUGUCUAUUGCUCCCUAGUGCUCCAGAGAGGCAGUUUGAAGACUGGCUAAAAGCAGAGAAUCUGGAACAGGAUAUCCGGGUUUGAAUAUCCUAACCAUCUAUAAGUGGUUAUCCUAACCAUCUAUAAGUGAUCUUGGGCAAGGCGCUCCACUAUUCCGUCUGUGAAAUGGGAUGAAGAUCAGCAGCCCCUACCACACCAAGUUACUGGUGUGGUGAAUGAGUUCAGGGGUGUAGUGUCCACAACAAUGCCAGCUGGUCAUUGCAGUAAGUACUGAGGAUAGAGCCAGUUCAGCUUCUUGGUCUGGCCCUGGGUGUAGCAUCCAUGGUCCACCCCAGACAAAAGGCGCAGCCCCAUCUGGCUGUCCCAUCGCUAGGGUGCUGCCCUCCUACUUCUCCAUGGCGUGUGGUCCAAAGUACCCCAGCCCAGACCGUCUGGGCUCCAGCAUGGCCUCCGUCCACGGUGUCCACCCAGUGCUUACAGAAGAGUGCACACAGAGCCCACCAAGCCCGCCAGGGGAGGCAGCCAACCUCUACUUGGGCUAUCCCCUGAAGGAGCAGCCUUGGGCAGGAGGCCACUGCCCCUCCCAGAGCAGGAUGCAGGCUGCUCAGUGGCGUUAAAGGACCUUCACCGCUGGGGCUGGGGCUGGGGCAGGGCCCAGCUCCACCCCUUCAGCUUUAUUCCCACCCAGGGCAGGGAUCCCCAGCUCCACCUCUGCCUCCAGCUAAUGCUGCUUCACAACAAGUUGUCAUUCAUCCAACACCUUCAUUAAGUGCCUACUGAGUAGGAAGACCUACUCACAGUUAGGUCUUGUGUCUCUGUGCUGCCAUCCUGGCUGUUCAGGACACGCUGCUUUCUUGCCUGGAGAGGUGGUUUUGGAUGCAUUGUCUCACCCGGCUCCCCCAGGCUGUGUGGGCUGCUUCCGUGGUCAGUUACCACCACAGGGUCAGCACCUACUGUGUGCCAGGCACCAUGGCUCGUAGAUUGUGACUGCCAACCCAGGACGCCCCCUCUAGAGAGUCAGGGGCCCCACCUGCAGAAAGUGAAGCUCAGAGGGACAGAGCGAGCUGCCCCCCCGGGCACAAGGCUGGCCAGUGGCUGACCCAGGGCUUCUCAUUCCAAAGCUGGGACUUCCAUGGCUCCACACAUGUCUGUCCCUGCUGAGUGUAACAGAUGUGUUCUGCCAGGUGAUUAUCCAUGGCUCCUUUUGGCAGCAGCUCAGUCCCCUUUACCCUGACCCUGGGGUCUUGAAUUCCCAGCUCAAAAAGGCUGACCUUCACAUUGUCACCUACAUAAUGACCCCCAAAGGUGUCCUAAUCCCUGAAACCCAUGAAUAUGUCAACUUCAAUGUCAGAUAGUCAGUGCAGGCCUGACUCAGUUAAGGAAGGACCAUGAUAUGGGGGGGCAUCCUGGAUCACCUGGGCAGUAGAAUCCCCCUUGGACGGGGGAGACAGGAGGGUCAGAGCCAGAGAGAGAGGAAGAUGCUCUGCUGCCAGAUUUGGAGAAGGCGAAAGGGGCUGUGAGCCAAGGAAUGGAGGAGCCUCUAGACUCCGGAAAAGGCAGGAAGCAGGUUCUCCCUGGAGCCUUCUGAAAGACCAGCCCUGCUGACUCUAACCCGCUAAGACCCACAUCAGACUCCUGCGAGGCCGAUCUGUAAGGGGUCCGGGCUACGUCCUCCUCCCCUGCUGCCCAGGAAGACUCUGGAGGUGUCCACUGUCCCCUCUUCUGCUCCCAGGCCUCACCCAGCACUGGUGGCUCAGACAAGCAGGGGUGGCCUUCCUCUCAUGGACACAGAGCCACACGCCCCCUUAGCCAAGCCCCAUGGCUGGGGGUUGGCCUUUCCCACGGCCCCUGAAGCCCCGGAGCUCUGCCCUCCCCACCCCCUUGCUGCCCUCCAGGGGAGCUGCCACUUGUAGCCCCUUAGCAGAAUGUCUCCCUGGGGGCUACCCAUCCUGCUACAGAGCCGCCUCUGUCUUGUUUUCAGGGCCCAGUGUCCUUCCUGAAUGCCUACAUUUCACCCAUUUCUUGGCUUUUUUUUUUCCUUUCCUAGAAACAUCCUUUUUUAUUUUUUUUUUCCAAGACAGAGUCUAACUCUGUCCCCAGGCUAGAGUACAGUGGCAUCAGCAUAGCUCAUAGCAACUUCAAACUCCUGGGCUCAAGUGAUCCUCCUGCCUCAGCCUCCCAAGUAGCUGGGACUAUAGGUGCCACCACAACACCUGGCUACUUUUUCUAUUUUUAGUAGAGACGGGGGUCUCUCUCUCUCAGGCUGGUCUUGAACUCCUGAGCUCAAGAGAACCAUCUGCCUCAGCCUCCCAGAGUGCUUGGAUUAUAGGCGUGAGCCACUGUGACCAGCCUUUUUCAAGAACCUUCUCUAGAAUCUUCUUGAGGGCAACGUGGUGCCUACACCACUCCCAGGGCCUGGUUUAGGGCAGAGGACCCACACCCUCACAGAUGGGUAAAGGCAGCUGUUGUGCAAAGAUGUUCCAGACCAGCAAUGUGACCUUCCUGGGCUGGCUGUUUUCCUCUGCAAUGUGGCAACCCAACAGUGGCUGCCUCGAGGACCAGCAAGGGCAGACGAGACGGCUGGUGGGCCCAGGCCCACAUAGCAAGAGCCCGGCUAACAGCAGCUCUCAUUUUCUUUGAUGUCCAUCAGUCACUGAGACGUCCUAUUGGCCCAGAGGCUGGGGAGGUUGUUAAUUUUUAAAAUGUUUUCCCUGGCCAUGGAAAGGAAAGCCCCCAAUGCCCUUGCUCCUUCCAACAGGGCAGAGGGGGCACAGGGGACCUACACACAUGUGGUACGGCAGAACCAUGCUGCAGGUGAGGCCACAGAGCCCCAAAGGCGGGAUGCCCCUUACUUGGGGGCACACAGCCAAUGUGUCACAGAUUCCGACUUCCAACCUGCUCUGAUUUCACCGUGGUCAGCCAGAAGGUGAGCAGGACACAGAGACACCUUGUGGGUGGCCAGGAUACUGGAUCAGUCUGCUGCAGUUACACCCCGCAGGUCUCCUGCCCUAACUAGAAUCUGCCUGUCGACUUGUACAAAGAGUCCUGGGCCAGCCAGGAAUAGGGACCAGAGCAGGUGAUCUAUGCAGUAAGGCAGAGGAACCGAAAAGGCUCAGGGCACCACAAUGACUUCCUCCAGAUGCCCAAGGUCCCCACCCAGCAAGCCUCUCAUCAGAAUGAUCAGGGUCUGGAUUGGAGCCAGGCCACAGGGAAGGCGUAUCGGCUUAGGAAGUUCGGUGACAGGAAAUGCUGUGUGGCCUUGGCAGAGUUUGGAGGCAGCAGCUUUUGGCAGGGCCUGGGUUACCGUGGGGGCUGGGUAGGUUUUGGGGGUACUGGGGAGGACCCUUCAUCCCUGACCAGGAAAAACAGCAGCCGUGACUUCUCUGUCCCUCCCCCACCCCGCCCUGACACCCCUUACUGAGCCUCUCUGUCUACUGGGUGGACACUAUUUGUAUAAAUGAAAUUCCGUUUUGGCCUGUGCGUGUCCCUGCCUCAGCCAAGAGCUGGUUUGAGGCUGAGAGUGACAAAAUUUGGCUGUCACAGGAGAGGGUGGAGGUGGGAGUGGAGGUGACCUUGGGCAGCACAUCCCCCCUCCACAUCCUCAGCGCAAAGAGUCAUGCCCCAGGACUGUAGGGGAGGGGGGGGAAAAGUGCUGUCUUGACUAGGAGCGGGACACAGCCCCAACCAAGGUCCUUGAUGUCCUGGUUUUGCCUGAGCUGCCCCAAGUGUCAGAGUGACCCAGACCACCACCAGGCAGAGCCCAGCUUGGGCCUGCCCCAGCAGAGGAUGCUGGAGAAAGCUGAACCAUAGGCCAUGCUAGGCAGCAAGAGACCCUGAAGUCCCCAGGCAGACAGCAUCCACUUCUUUUAAGACCUCUCCCCAAGGCCCCAUUUGGCUGAGCAGACAACCCUCCUAUUGCCUCCAGGGCCUGAGCCUGGCCAGGCAGCCUGCUACCCCCAGGAAGAAUUUUCACAAAGCCCUGGCCAGCCCUGGGCCAGCAUUACAAUGCACCACUUCUGCCUGCUGAGGGCUUCCCAGACCCAGGAAACAGGUGCUUGUGGCUCUGUGAUUUCCAAAGGGACUUGGUCCUCCAGGAGUGCCAUGGCCUUGAGCAGUGGUGGCUGGGCAGGGAAGAGAAAGGCAGCCAGCCCUGGGGAGGGACCUUCCUGAAACCCACUUUCAUGGCAGGCUCACAUACCUGCCAUGGCUCCCUAUUGCCCUAAGGACCCAGAACACAUAAAGAAUGC
Long non-coding RNA from Nycticebus coucang (slow loris), 6478 nucleotides. RefSeq lists it as uncharacterized. NCBI's taxonomy places the organism in Eukaryota, Metazoa, Chordata, Mammalia, Primates, Lorisidae. The record is from RefSeq and is a predicted model, not a curated record. The transcript is spliced from 5 exons.